CCUACGGGGGACAGCAGUGAGGAAUAUUGGUCAAUGGGCGCGAGCCUGAACCAGCCAAGUCGCGUGAGGGAAGACGGUCCUAUGGAUUGUAAACCUCUUUUGUCGGGGAGCAAAAGACGCCACGCGUGGCGUUCCGAGAGUACCCGAAGAAAAAGCAUCGGCUAACUCCGUGCCAGCAGCCGCGGUAAUACGGAGGAUGCGAGCGUUAUCCGGAUUUAUUGGGUUUAAAGGGUGCGCAGGCGGACGAUCAAGUCAGCGGUAAAAUUGAGAGGCUCAACCUCUUCGAGCCGUUGAAACUGGUUGUCUUGAGUGGGUGAGAGGUAUGCGGAAUGCGUGGUGUAGCGGUGAAAUGCAUAGAUAUCACGCAGAACUCCGAUUGCGAAGGCAGCAUACCGGCGCUCAACUGACGCUCAUGCACGAAAGUGUGGGUAUCGAACAGGAUUAGAUACCCCUGUAGUC
RNAcentral lists this ribosomal RNA (459 nucleotides) under uncultured bacterium. RNAcentral describes it as "partial 16S ribosomal RNA". It matches the Rfam family "Bacterial small subunit ribosomal RNA", at positions 338 to 795 of the family's 1533-position model. The record is from RNAcentral.